UGCUCUUUGGCAGCACAUGUAUAAAAUUGAAAUAACACAGGAUGAUGAACAUGGUUUCUGUGCAGGAAUUAUAUGCAAAUUUAUGAAGCAUUCCCUAAAUUU
This 102-nucleotide small nuclear RNA is filed under the name Nannospalax galili (Upper Galilee mountains blind mole rat). Lineage: Eukaryota; Metazoa; Chordata; Mammalia; Rodentia; Spalacidae. The record is from RNAcentral.